GAACAGAGACCUCGAUUGAUCCUCGCCCCUCAUAUCUCUGUCCCCAAAUCCUGAUCGCUAAAAUCAACUUCACUAGAGUAUAACCGCCAAAAAGUCCAAAAGGGUCUCUCAGGAAAAGAUUGCUUGCUUGUAUUAGCGGCGCAUGAGAAAGUAUGAAAAGGGGUUUGCUUUGUUGAAUCGGAGAAGAAAGGUAUAGAAGGCUGAGGUGAAAAAGCAUCAAAAUUCUCUCCCUCUUGAAAGAGGAGAAGAGAAGCGAAGAGAAAGAGAGCACACGCGGUGUUU
This 282-nucleotide unclassified non-coding RNA is filed under the name Hevea brasiliensis (rubber tree). Lineage: Eukaryota; Viridiplantae; Streptophyta; Magnoliopsida; Malpighiales; Euphorbiaceae. The record is from RNAcentral.